GACGAACCGUGCGAACGUUAUUCGGAAUCACUGGGCUUAAAGGGCGCGUAGGCGGCUUUGCAAGUCCGGGGUGAAAGCCCCCAGCUCAACUGGGGAAGUGCCUCGGAUACUGCGGAGCUCGAGGGAGGUAGGGGCGGAUGGAACUUCCGGUGGAGCGGUGAAAUGCGUUGAUAUCGGAAGGAACGCCGGUGGCGAAAGCGAUCCGCUGGCCCUCUACUGACGCUGAGGCGCGAAAGCCAGGGGAGCAAACGGG
Molecule: ribosomal RNA, 253 nt
Filed under: uncultured bacterium
Lineage: Bacteria
Description: partial 16S ribosomal RNA
Rfam family: Bacterial small subunit ribosomal RNA
Source: RNAcentral